This 253-nucleotide unclassified non-coding RNA is filed under the name uncultured cyanobacterium. Its description in RNAcentral is "contains 16S-23S intergenic spacer region". It matches the Rfam family "Bacterial small subunit ribosomal RNA", at positions 524 to 776 of the family's 1533-position model. Lineage: Bacteria; Bacillati; Cyanobacteriota. The record is from RNAcentral.
UACGGAGGAUGCAAGCGUUAUCCGGAAUUAUUGGGCGUAAAGCGUCCGCAGGUGGUCGUUCAAGUCGGCUGUUAAAGAUUGAAGCUUAACUUCAAAAAGGCAGUGGAAACUGAACAACUAGAGGUCAGUAGGGGUAGCAGGAAUUCCCAGUGUAGCGGUGAAAUGCGUAGAGAUUGGGAAGAACAUCGGUGGCGAAAGCGUGCUACUGGGCUGAAUCUGACACUGAGGGACGAAAGCUAGGGGAGCAAAAGGG